RNAcentral lists this ribosomal RNA (430 nucleotides) under Pseudomonadota bacterium. RNAcentral's name for it is "Proteobacteria bacterium partial 16S ribosomal RNA". It matches the Rfam family "Bacterial small subunit ribosomal RNA", at positions 355 to 776 of the family's 1533-position model. Lineage: Bacteria; Pseudomonadati; Pseudomonadota. The record is from RNAcentral.
UGGGGAAUAUUGGACAAUGGGGGGAACCCUGAUCCAGCCAUGCCGCGUGUGUGAAGAAGGCCUUAUGGUUGUAAAGCACUUUAAGCGAGGAGGAGGGUACUGGUAUUAAUACUACCAGGUACUGGACGUUACUCGCAGAAUAAGCACCGGCUAACUCUGUGCCAGCAGCCGCGGUAAUACAGAGGGUGCGACCGUUAAUCGGAUUUACUGGGCGUAAAGCGUGCGUAGGCGGCUAAUUGAGUCGGAUGUGAAAUCCCCGAGCUUAACUUGGGAAUUGCAUUCGAUACUGGUUAGCUAGAGGGUGGGAGAGGAUGGUAGAAUUCCAGGUGUAGCGGUGAAAUGCGUAGAGAUCUGGAGGAAUACCGAUGGCGAAGGCAGCCAUCUGGCCUAACACUGACGCUGAGGUACGAAAGCAUGGGGAGCAAACAGG